Molecule: long non-coding RNA, 1186 nt
Filed under: Ursus maritimus (polar bear)
Lineage: Eukaryota; Metazoa; Chordata; Mammalia; Carnivora; Ursidae
Description: lncRNA (ENSUMAG00000020049.1)
Source: RNAcentral
UCUUGUUUAGGUAUUCAAACAACACGAGAGCUAAGAACGCUCAGAGACUGCCAGUGAAGGGAUGACUGCUUGAUGAGAACACAAGGAGAAAGGGAGAACGGGGCCUCCAAGACUCCCACUCAUGAUGCGUCUGUCGGUUGUCUUCAAAGAAAUGUUGCCAAAACAUCAAUAUUUUCAGCAUUAGAAAACUGAAGAAUUGCUUUCCACGUAAUUCAGUAAAAAUGUGGGUAUAAUUGAGGAUGUCUUACUCAGCCAGCUAAGCUGUCAUCAGCAUGGUACCUACUACUCAGUGUUCUUCAUUGGAGAAACAAAAGUGUCUUAAAGAAGAUUGGCCCAUUCUGCUUUUAUUUACUUACUUACUUACUUACUCACUUAUUGAGAGAGAGAGAGAGAGAGAGAGAGUAGAGAGGGGCAGAGGGAAGGGAGAGAGAGAAUCUUAAGUAGGCUCCACGCCCAGUGUAGAGCCUGAUGUGGGGCUCAAUCUUACGACCCUGAGAUCACAACUUGAGCCAAAAUCAAGGGUCAGACACUUACCAGACUAAGCCACCCAGGCGCCUCAAAUUCUAUGUAUUGGAGCUUCUGCAGUUGUGGCAGCUGGUUAAGUGGUUUCUGCAGGUUUUUGUCUUUGCAUCUUCUGUUAGAGCUUAAAGUCCUCUCAUUAGGCAGCCAUUCCCAGGGAGGGAAGAUGGAGAUAAAGUAGGGGAGAGCAAGAAGAAGUUGGAAUCCAUGAAUAUGAUCUGGAAUCCACAAGGAAAGACUGAAACCUGUGUCAUUUCCUAUUGCCCCUGACCUUGGUGGGGUAGGUAUUUGCAGCAGCAGGGCCUUUCUUCAUGGAGUUAAAGACACACGCCUGGCCCAGUGAUGCUGAAGAAGGAUCCUGAGGAAGGUGGAGUGCUCACGGGCCUGAUGGCUGCCUCACGUGAAUGAGUCAGACAUGUGUAAGUUACAGAGUGGUCCUUCCUAUAGCUUACAAGGAUCUCCCUUGUGGCCCACCCCAUCUGGAAACAUACAGAAAGAGGAACUCUGAGAAAUGUUGUUCAGCCUAGCAACAUUGACACUUUACAAAGUUGCCUCUUGUAUCUUCCAGUUAAUUGCUCAUGACAGUUUUGAGUUGCAUUUCCUAUUUUGCCAGUGAUUAACAACCAACCCUAAUAAAGACUAGAAACUUAUUUUGUUCUUUUUAAAG